ACUCAUUUGAAAUCUUCUCCAGGACACUAUCAAUCCAAUGGAAAGGCUGAGUCAGCAGUUAAAAUUUUGAAGAACAUAAUGAAGAAAUCUAGAGAAUCAAAGUCAGAUGCUUAUGAAGCUCUUCUGGAAUUUAGAAAUACUCCAAGGCAAGACACAAAUCUAAGCCCAGUUCAGAUGUUUUUUGGUCGGAUGACUCGAACACUGAUACCAAACAAAAGGAGUAACAUUAAGAUUUCUACAUGUCAAGAGAACUUUGUGAGAAGGAAAGAAAAACGUCAGAUGAGUGUAAAAACAUCUUAUGAUAAGAAGUCAAGAAAUUUAAGUCAGCUGAGAACUGGACAGAUGGUCUAUUUCCAAUCUCCUAAUGACCCUACAUGGAGACGUGGAAGAAUCCAGUCUCAAGUCAAUCAGAGAGCUUACAUAAUUCGAGGUGACAAUGGUGCAGUGUACCAAAGAAACAGAGUGCGUAUCAACCCGAACAGAGAAACAGAAGAAGUUAUAUUUCCCGAUACUGAUGACAACAUACAGGACAAUAGAACUCAUGAUCAACACAUUCGCCACUCAUCAACUCAUCAUUCACUGCGACCAAGGGAUCAGUUGAAGAAACCGACAAGAUUCAAUGACUAUUUGUCUUAAUGAACUAUUGAAUGUUGAUUUUUUAAAUGUGAUAUGUUUUAUAUUCAUUGAAGCGUAUAUAUGUAGUAUGUUAUGUUUAGUUUUUUAUGUUGUGGUUUUGUUUUAUUUUUUUCUAUGAUACUCCCCGAAAUGUUUUAUUUUUUAAUUUUUUUUUUAAAGAAAAGGGGAUGUUGAUAUGGUGCGCAAAGGUGCACGCGUUCAAUAUAAUAAAGUAUCAUUCUCCGCCAUGACUCUAAUGGUUGUUGUUUGUUUAUUGCUGACUGUGAACCUAGAUCUUAAUUAACACUGUAGAAGUGUGAACAUGGGUGAUUCUAAAACGAAACGCUGACAAAUCCCCAUAUUAUGUGGUAGUAUGCUCUAAUCUGCAGAUUUACUGUUACCAAAAUUGACUAAAAGAUAGCGUGACUUGUAAAAUGUGCACUAUAGCCACUAUAGGCGUUACAGGACUAUUUUUGGGUUGGUUCGUUGCAAGAUCCCGGAAUUUCCCGGCUACGAAACCAUUAACAAAACCACAAUUGUAGUCUGUUGGGAAAAGAGAAAGAUGUAGAUUAGAAGAAUAAUUGAGAACAAUAAAUUGCCGGAAUCCUCUGCCAAGAGAUGCAUUGAAAUUAGGCUUACUUAUUUCCGCGCCAAACCUAUUCAAGAACCUUGAUGAUUCAAUGAAGAUAACGUUCAUCAAGGAACAUUCAACGCUAAAGUUUAUUCCUGGAUAGCUCUAGUCACGUUAGAGGACGUAGAUACACGAACUCAGAUCUAGGAAGGUGCAGUACCCUUCAAGUUCUUGUGAAUAUAAUCCAUAUACAUGUGCGCCUUCAACUGCCGAAGCCUUUUAACAAGUGACUCGAAUCAGAAUUCGAUAACGAAACAGUAGUGUCUUAAGACAUACAGGAAUUGAACUUUUACUUACUGAAGUCGUCAUUAACAAUUUACGUAAUAUUGAUGAAUAGAGAUCUGUUCAAAUAGUAUGAAUAGUGUGGGACGAUGGAGGGGAGUGCAAAGAGAGUAGUCUUGUAAUAACUGUCGAAAUGGUUGUUGCUGAAUUUAAAGAAGAUUUGUGAUUGUAAUUAGAGGCCAACUCAAGCAAUAUAUUUGAUUCUAAGACUCCCAUCCACUGGUCAGGCAUCAAUCACAGCAACAGCACAUUCCUUUAGAAACAUUACAUUAAGUUGAACAGUGACACAUUUUCCUAAUGACAACAGUAGUAAACAGCAAAUGUCGUGCCAGCACUCUGUCAGUACGAGAACCAUAAUCGAGUGCUGAUAGUGGAAGGUAGUUGAAAGCCAGUCAUAGAAUCAGCUUCACACCAAGCCAGACUUCAAUAACAAGACAUUUAUUAGAGCACAAAGUAUUGAAGCUGGCUGUAAAUAGGUUUA
Biomphalaria glabrata is the source of this 2009-nucleotide long non-coding RNA. RefSeq lists it as uncharacterized. The record is from RefSeq and is a predicted model, not a curated record. The transcript is spliced from 2 exons. Lineage: Eukaryota; Metazoa; Mollusca; Gastropoda; Planorbidae.